CGGCGGGACCCUAGAGCGGUUUCGAUGCUAGUAAUGGUAGUGACUUGGGUUUCGGAUGCUAAUAAGGCAAGUACGAGUCGGUGUCCAACAUGCAUAGUCGGUGUCCAAGAUCAAAGGGAGAGCAGUGUCCAAUGCAACGGCAGAAAACAAUGUUAGGAAGUCCAGAGUUGCUGAUAAGGGCCCCAAGAAGAGCUAUCUUUUUUAUGCUUAAUGACCUGCCCACCUUGGAAACGGCUAAAUCGAAGGUAGCGUCAAGUGAUCAAAAGAGCAUCGUAGUCACGUGGCAUUCGAUGCACCCCUGGCGAUCUUUGAAAAUCUGAAAGACUGAGUCUCGCUCGUGCUAGGUCAUACUCAUAAUUGCAUCAAGCCUCCAAGGUGGACAACCUCUGGCCUAUAGAACAAUGUAGGCAAGGGAAGUCGGCAAAACAUAUCUACAACUUCAAGAAAAUGAUUGCUCUAAAGGUUGGGCAUGAGGAUCUUCGCCUCGAACCUAUCGGUUGUUGACGAAUUGCUGGAGCUACUCCGAUGACGAUAGUGGGUCGUCAUGUGCCCGUCGGGGUACAAACUAGGAACGACCACAUUGGGGGCCUUCCCUGUGCGUCGAAUAGCCACUUCAAAAUUGGUAUGGACAAAGGGAAUUCAAUUAUUUAAUUAAAAUAAAGCAUUGUGAUGGUCCCCAUAGAUGCUCACAUAAUGUGAUUUUUGCCCGGUGCUCUAAAUGUCAAAGUGAAUAAAUUCAACCAAACGCGAGUAAAUGACAAGAGUAACUAUGACUCUCUUAUGAUAGCCAAAUGCAUGGUCAUCUAAUUAGUGACAUAUAUGAAUGGAUUAACGAGAUUCCUAGUAUCCCUGUCUACUAUCCAACGAAACCACAACUAAAGGAACAUGCUUGGCAAAAUCACUAACGAAAGAAGACCUUGACUCUAGUCCGACUUUGUGAAAUGACUUAAGAGGUAUAUGAUAAGUAGGAGUCGAUUUAUCAACAUAAGUGAAAUACCACUACUAUUAAUGUUAUUUUACUUAUUCCUUGAGAUGGAGGCAAAGGCCCAGCCCCUGCUUGUGGACCCAAGACCUACCUAGCCAAUCGAUCCAGGGCGAAGACAUUGUUAGGUGAGGAGAUUGGUUGGGGCGACACAUUUGUUAAAAGAUAACACUGAUAUCCUAAAAUGAGUUCAACGAGUAUAGAAUCUAGUGUGCAACAGAAGGAUAAAAGCUCAUUUGAUUUUGAUUUUUAGUAUGAAUACCAACCAUGAAUAUGUGGCUUAUAGAUCCUUUAAACCUUUAGAAUUUAAAGUUAGAGGUGUCAAAAAAGUUACCACUAGGAUAACUGGCUUGUGGCAACCAAGCGUUAAUAGUAACAUUCUUUUUUGAUCCUUCAAUGUUCACCCAUCAAUAGGGAACGUGAGCUCGAUUUAGAUCGUCAUGAGAUAUGCUAGUUUUACCCUAAUGAUGACAAUGCCACAAUAGUAAUUCAACCUAGUAUGGGAGGAAUCGUUGAUUCACACGAUUGGUCAUUAUACUUGGUUGAAAAGCUAGUGACGCGAAACUAUCGUAUGUCAGAUUAUGACUGAAUAUCUCUAGAUUAGAAUUUUAGCUAGCAAUCGACGCUCUCGCUCGUCGUCUGCCUCUCAAUCCACGAUAGAGGCCUUUAACCCCCAUGAGCUAGUGUCUCUAGUAUAGCCCCCAUGGUGAUAUGACUAUGGGGGUCACUAAUUCUACACGGACGAUAAGUUGAAUCUUUUGCAAACUACUUAAAUACACAACAAUUGU
Molecule: ribosomal RNA, 1770 nt
Filed under: Ensete ventricosum
Lineage: Eukaryota; Viridiplantae; Streptophyta; Magnoliopsida; Zingiberales; Musaceae
Description: eukaryotic LSU rRNA
Rfam family: Eukaryotic large subunit ribosomal RNA
Source: RNAcentral